Molecule: ribosomal RNA, 418 nt
Filed under: uncultured bacterium
Lineage: Bacteria
Description: bacterial SSU rRNA
Rfam family: Bacterial small subunit ribosomal RNA
Source: RNAcentral
AUCUUCCACAAUGGGCGCAAGCCUGAUGGAGCAACACCGCGUGAGUGAAGAAGGGUUUCGGCUCGUAAAGCUCUGUUGUUGGAGAAGAACGUGCGUGAGAGUAACUGUUCACGCAGUGACGGUACCCAAGGAGGAAGCCACGGCUAACUAAGUGCCAGCAGCCGCGGUAAUACGUAGGUGGCAAGCGUUAUCCGGAUUUAUUGGGCGUAAAGCGAGCGCAGGCGGUUGCUUAGGUCUGAUGUGAAAGCCUUCGGCUUAACCGAAGAAGUGCAUCGGAAACCGGGCGACUUAAGUGCAGAAGAGGACAGUGGAACUCCAUGUGUAGCGGUGGAAUGCGUAGAUAUAUGGAAGAACACCAGUGGCGAAGGCGGCUGUCUGGUCUGCAACUGACGCUGAGGCUCGAAAGCAUGGGUAGCGA